Molecule: non-coding RNA, 28 nt
Filed under: Homo sapiens (human)
Lineage: Eukaryota; Metazoa; Chordata; Mammalia; Primates; Hominidae
Source: RNAcentral
CAAGAGUUCGGGGAAAGACGGACAGGAC